GACGGAGGGGGCAAGCGUUGUCCGGACUUACUGGGCGUAAAGGGCCCGUAGGCGGCCUGAUGCGUCGGUGCUGAAAGCGCCCCGCUUAACGGGGUGAGGCGUGCCGAUACGAUCAGGCUCGAGGCAGGCAGAGGGUGGCGGAAUUCCGGGUGUAGUGGUGAAAUGCGUAGAGAUCCGGAGGAACGCCUGUGGCGCAAGCGGCCACCUGGGCCUGACCUGACGCUGAGGGGCGAAAGCGUGGGGAGCAAACCGGAUUAGAUACCCGGGUAGUCCACGCGGUAAACGAUGCCAGCUCGGUGUCUGGGGUCCGUUUAGGACCCUGGGUGCCUCAGCUCACGCGGUAAGCUGGCCGCCUGGGGACUACGAGCGCAAGCUUAAA
Molecule: ribosomal RNA, 379 nt
Filed under: uncultured bacterium
Lineage: Bacteria
Description: bacterial SSU rRNA
Rfam family: Bacterial small subunit ribosomal RNA
Source: RNAcentral